CGUAAGCGCGCGUAGGUGGUUUGUUAAGUUGGAUGUGAAAGCCCCGCGCUCAACCUGGGAACUGCAUCCAAAACUGGCAAGCUAGAGUACGGUAGAGGGUGGUGGAAUUUCCUGUGUAGCGGUGAAAUGCGUAGAUAUAGGAAGGAACACCAGUGGCGAAGGCGACCACCUGGACUGAUACUGACACUGAGGUGCGAAAGCGUGGGGAGCAAACAGGAUU
Molecule: ribosomal RNA, 220 nt
Filed under: Pseudomonas putida
Lineage: Bacteria; Pseudomonadati; Pseudomonadota; Gammaproteobacteria; Pseudomonadales; Pseudomonadaceae
Description: partial 16S ribosomal RNA
Rfam family: Bacterial small subunit ribosomal RNA
Source: RNAcentral